This 461-nucleotide ribosomal RNA is filed under the name uncultured bacterium. Its description in RNAcentral is "bacterial SSU rRNA". It matches the Rfam family "Bacterial small subunit ribosomal RNA", at positions 338 to 795 of the family's 1533-position model. The record is from RNAcentral.
CCUACGGGAGGCAGCAGUGAGGAAUAUUGGUCAAUGGGCGCAAGCCUGAACCAGCCAUGCCGCGUGCAGGAAGAAUGCCUUAUGGGUUGUAAACUGCUUUUAUUUGGGAAUAAACCCCUGGUCGUGCAUCAGGGCUGAAGGUACUAAAUGAAUAAGCACCGGCUAACUCCGUGCCAGCAGCCGCGGUAAUACGGAGGGUGCAAGCGUUAUCCGGAAUCAUUGGGUUUAAAGGGUCCGCAGGCGGGCAUAUAAGUCAGUGGUGAAAGCCUACAGCUUAACUGUAGAACUGCCAUUGAUACUGUGUGUCUUGAAUUCGGUCGGAGUGGGCGGAAUGUGUAGUGUAGCGGUGAAAUGCAUAGAUAUUACACAGAACACCGAUAGCGAAGGCAGCUCACUAGGCCUGAAUUGACGCUCAUGGACGAAAGCGUGGGGAGCAAACAGGAUUAGAUACCCCUGUAGUC